This 1488-nucleotide ribosomal RNA is filed under the name Maribacter sp. BSw21903. RNAcentral describes it as "bacterial SSU rRNA". It matches the Rfam family "Bacterial small subunit ribosomal RNA". The record is from RNAcentral. Lineage: Bacteria; Pseudomonadati; Bacteroidota; Flavobacteriia; Flavobacteriales; Flavobacteriaceae.
AGAGUUUGAUCCUGGCUCAGGAUGAACGCUAGCGGCAGGCCUAACACAUGCAAGUCGAGGGGUAACAUUGGAGCUUGCUUCAGAUGACGACCGGCGCACGGGUGCGCACCGCGUAUGGAACCUACCUUUUACAGAGGAAUAGCCCAGGGAAACUUGGAUUAAUGCCUCAUAGUAUCAUUAUUCAGCAUUGGAUUUUGAUUAAAGCUUUCGAGCGGUAAAAGAUGGCCAUGCGUCCCAUUAGCUAGAUGGUAAGGUAACGGCUUACCAUGGCUACGAUGGGUAGGGGCCCUGAGAGGGGGAUCCCCCACACUGGUACUGAGACACGGACCAGACUCCUACGGGAGGCAGCAGUGAGGAAUAUUGGACAAUGGAGGAGACUCUGAUCCAGCCAUGCCGCGUGCAGGAAGAAUGCCCUAUGGGUAGUAAACUGCUUUUAUACAGGAAGAAAAAGAGCUACGUGUAGCUUACUGACGGUACUGUAAGAAUAAGGACCGGCUAACUCCGUGCCAGCAGCCGCGGUAAUACGGAGGGUCCGAGCGUUAUCCGGAAUUAUUGGGUUUAAAGGGUCCGUAGGCGGGCCGAUAAGUCAGGGGUGAAAGUUUGCAGCUCAACUGUAAAAUUGCCUUUGAUACUGUUGGUCUUGAGUUAUAGUGAAGUUGCCGGAAUAUGUAGUGUAGCGGUGAAAUGCAUAGAUAUUACAUAGAACACCGAUUGCGAAGGCAGGUGACUAACUAUAUACUGACGCUGAUGGACGAAAGCGUGGGGAGCGAACAGGAUUAGAUACCCUGGUAGUCCACGCCGUAAACGAUGGAUACUAGCUGUCCGAGACCUUGAGUCUUGGGCGGCCAAGCGAAAGUGAUAAGUAUCCCACCUGGGGAGUACGUUCGCAAGAAUGAAACUCAAAGGAAUUGACGGGGGCCCGCACAAGCGGUGGAGCAUGUGGUUUAAUUCGAUGAUACGCGAGGAACCUUACCAGGGCUUAAAUGUAGAUUGACAGGACUAGAGAUAGUUUUUCCUUCGGGCAAUUUACAAGGUGCUGCAUGGUUGUCGUCAGCUCGUGCCGUGAGGUGUCAGGUUAAGUCCUAUAACGAGCGCAACCCCUGUUGUUAGUUGCCAGCGAGUCAUGUCGGGGACUCUAACAAGACUGCCGGUGCAAACCGUGAGGAAGGUGGGGAUGACGUCAAAUCAUCACGGCCCUUACGUCCUGGGCCACACACGUGCUACAAUGGCCGGUACAGAGAGCAGCCAUGUUGCAAAACAGAGCGAAUCUAUAAAACCGGUCACAGUUCGGAUCGGGGUCUGCAACUCGACCCCGUGAAGCUGGAAUCGCUAGUAAUCGGAUAUCAGCCAUGAUCCGGUGAAUACGUUCCCGGGCCUUGUACACACCGCCCGUCAAGCCAUGGAAGCCGGGAGUGCCUGAAGUCCGUCACCGUAAGGAGCGGCCUAGGGCAAGAUCGGUAACUAGGGCUAAGUCGUAACAAGGUAACC